GGGUNNUAAUUUUUAAACCUAAAGAAUUUGGCGGUUUUUAAACUUACUAGAGGAACCUGUCCUGUAAUCGAUAGUCCACGAAUUAAGUCACCUAUCUUUGUUAUCAGCUUAUAUACCGCCGUUUAGUGAAUUAAAUAAAUAACUUCCCUUAAUUAAUUAGUUAAGAAAAUCAGGUCAAGGUGUAGUUAAUAGAUAGGAAGAGAUGGGUUACAAUAAUAUAUUAUAACGGAUUAUAGACCUUACGGUCUGUAUGAAGGUGGAUUUAGAAGUAAAUUUUAAUGAUUUGAAGCAAGCUCUUAAAAAUGUACA
RNAcentral lists this ribosomal RNA (309 nucleotides) under Streptocephalus guzmani. RNAcentral's name for it is "partial 12S ribosomal RNA". Lineage: Eukaryota; Metazoa; Arthropoda; Branchiopoda; Anostraca; Streptocephalidae. The record is from RNAcentral.